UUUUUUAGGCGGAAAACGUAUUUAGAUCACCUGCAAUGCAGCGAUUUGUCUGACAAUCACAGACCACUGAUGAUUCAGCUCAAGAACCACAAUGUGUUGUCACCGCUUAUGAAGUAAAUGGACAAAGAAAAACCAAAAGAGGUUGCUCCUACGACCCUGUUGAAGAAAAUACCAGAUGCAAAAACCUAAUUGGUGGAAACGAUACUGUAAAUGUCGUUGGCUGCAGAGCCUGUGUCGGAAAUCUUUGCAAUUCGGGAUCAAAAAUUGUUAUUGCUUUUAUCCCAUUAUUUGUUAGUGUUAUAAUUAAUGUGUAUUCUUAAAAAAAUAUUAAAUUAAUACAUUUAUAUUGUCUUUUUUUAAAUAUAGGUAAAUUUUAAAGUUAUACAACAUUUCUGUUUUAAAUUAAAUUAUGAAAGACUAUGUUACUAAAUAAUUAUCUUAUUUAUAAAACAGUGGCAAUUUUAAUUAUGUUAGUUUGCUCUUUUUUAAAAUAAUAUAUUGAAUGGCUUAGAGAUAAAGCCCAUAAUAAAGACAGUGUUUCCUAUAAGA
Nymphalis io (European peacock) is the source of this 549-nucleotide long non-coding RNA. RefSeq lists it as uncharacterized. The transcript has 2 exons. The record is from RefSeq and is a predicted model, not a curated record. Lineage: Eukaryota; Metazoa; Arthropoda; Insecta; Lepidoptera; Nymphalidae.